AAACUUAAAGGAAUUGACGGGGGCCCGCACAAGCGGUGAGCAUGUGGUUUAAUUCGACGCAACGCGAAGAACCUUACCAGGGCUUGACAUCCCCUGACCGCGUAUGAAUGUACGUUUUCACCCUCGGGUGACAGGGAGACAGGUGGUGCAUGGUUGUCGUCAGCUCGUGUCGCGAGAUGUUGGGUUAAGUCCCGCAACGAGCGCAACCCCUAUCUUUAGUUGCCAUCAUUGAGUUGGGCACUCUAAAGAGACUGCCGGUGUCAAACCGGAGGAAGGUGGGGAUGACGUCAAGUCCUCAUGGCCUUUAUGACCUGGGCUACACACGUGCUACAAUGGUUGGUACAACGAGUUGCGAGUCGGUGACGGCGAGCUAAUCUCUUAAAGCCAAUCUCAGUUCGGAUUGUAGGCUGCAACUCGCCUACAUGAAGUCGGAAUCGCUAGUAAUCGCGGAUCAGCACGCCGCGGUGAAUACGUUCCCGGGCCUU
RNAcentral lists this ribosomal RNA (485 nucleotides) under uncultured Streptococcus sp. RNAcentral describes it as "bacterial SSU rRNA". It matches the Rfam family "Bacterial small subunit ribosomal RNA", at positions 897 to 1382 of the family's 1533-position model. The record is from RNAcentral. Lineage: Bacteria; Bacillati; Bacillota; Bacilli; Lactobacillales; Streptococcaceae.